CACACGUCUGCGCCCUGCAGCACGAAGCCGGAGUUCAGGCAGCGCCGGGCUAUCCUCCGCCACACCGCGUCCCUGCAGGUGAAGUGGCAGAGCCUCCUGCACACCUGCCCCAGCCGGGCCAGAGACCUGCCGUCCAGUUACCGCAUGAGCCCCCCGCAAAGCUACAGCGGAAGCCUCAAUGGAGAUAAACCUAGAGCAGGUCCGCAUGAAAACUCAUGACAGAAACCUCUGCACUGCACCCUCUUCAAACAACUGAUCGUGAUGGUGUCAGACCCCCACCCAUCAGAUACUGAUGACUGAGGAGAUGCCAUCUAUAUUUUACUUCCCAAAUAUCUUUAACAUAAUCACAUGACGGCAGCAGUGCAUCCUGGUACAGAAUGGAGGGAGAGAACUGUACGGCUACUGCAAUGGAAAAAAACUAAUUCCAAAAACCCAAAAAUUUUAUUGUGACUGACGGCAACCGAUCCUGUACUGAAUUGUACCUGCCCCAAUAAUGCAAAAUCAUUAUUUGAGAUGGUGAUUGACUCAAUAAAGGGAAAAUCCUGUGAACAUCAUGUUCUAAUACAUCAUAGAUAUAUGUAAGGUUGGGUUCAAAUCACGUUUUUGCCAUCCGUUUAUCGUAUA
Long non-coding RNA from Bufo bufo (common toad), 624 nucleotides. RefSeq lists it as uncharacterized. The record is from RefSeq and is a predicted model, not a curated record. The transcript is spliced from 2 exons. Lineage: Eukaryota; Metazoa; Chordata; Amphibia; Anura; Bufonidae.